UUGCUCUGUGGGAUCAGUGGCGAACGGGUGAUUAACACGUGAGCAACCUGCCCCUGACUCUGGCAUAAGCGAUGGAAACGGCGUUUAAUACU
RNAcentral lists this ribosomal RNA (92 nucleotides) under uncultured bacterium. RNAcentral describes it as "partial 16S ribosomal RNA". The record is from RNAcentral.